AUACGGAGAGUUUGAUCGUGGCUCAGGGUGAACGCUGGCGGCGUGCCUAACACAUGCGAGUCGAGCGAUGAGGCCCCCUUCGGGGGG
This 87-nucleotide ribosomal RNA is filed under the name Anaerolineae bacterium. Its description in RNAcentral is "partial 16S ribosomal RNA". It matches the Rfam family "Bacterial small subunit ribosomal RNA", at positions 1 to 87 of the family's 1533-position model. The record is from RNAcentral. Lineage: Bacteria; Bacillati; Chloroflexota; Anaerolineae.